This is a long non-coding RNA of Phyllostomus discolor (pale spear-nosed bat), 1832 nucleotides long. RefSeq lists it as uncharacterized. The record is from RefSeq and is a predicted model, not a curated record. The transcript has 2 exons. NCBI's taxonomy places the organism in Eukaryota, Metazoa, Chordata, Mammalia, Chiroptera, Phyllostomidae.
ACAUUAAAAAAUGAUAUUCUAAUAUCUAAAUAAUAUGCAGAAAAUCAUAGUGAACUUACUAUUGCAGAAAAGCUGUCCUGGUAUGCAGUAAUGAUAGUGUUUUUAUUUUAAAUAAUACUGUUAUAAAAAUUUAUUUCUUUAAAUUUGUUCUUCUUUCUACAGAAUCAUAAGUUUUAGCAGUACUCUAGAAUUUUUUAACAGUGAUACAUUUCUGCCACCAUUUGGAGGAGCCUUCAUCAUAGAGUAGUGAGGAGUUGAGUCUGAUUUGCAAAGAUGCCUUCAUUUGAAAUUCAGAAUUCACCGCCCCCCCAGAAGAAUUCUUAGUCAAAUUCCCAUAAUUAAUGAAUUGUACCUUCUUGAUUUCUCUACUGCCAAUCUAAUGCAAGUUACAAUUAUAACUAAUUAUUUUGUAUAAAUUCUGAUGAUGGUCUUACACCACUGAAACAAUAGAUAUUCUGAAAACUAUAAGUGAAACUGUCAGCCCUUGACAUCUGUAGUUAACCAAGUACUUAGAAUGUUGUUGAUAGUUAGGUAAUUAUAAGAUUAAAUCAAGAGUGUGGGAGGCCUCUGUGCUUUUCUAAUGAAACCAUUUAAUUUUUAAAAAAACUUAUGAUGCAUAAUCAUGGUCUCCCUUAAUCCAAAAUUUAAAAUAGUAUCUGUAAAUAGUUAUUCUCUAUAGUGGUCUUAGGAAAGCAGAAGUAUAUGAAAAUUUCAUUCACUUUCUCCUUAAGCCUUAUACCAGAGUUACUAAGAAUUGGCAAAGUUCACUGAUCCAAGAUUUACCCUUCUGAUAUCUUGCUCUGGUGAAAUAAUAGAAAAGUGUUUUGCAAACUAAAAGCUAGAUAUGAAGGUAAAGGAAAUUACAGUUAAUUAAAAGUUUCAUUAAAAUAAUGUUACCAUGACUGUGAAAUCCUGAAUUCUGAUUUUGCCUUUGUUACUAUAAUGCUAAUUAGAUAUUUUACUUUGUUUAAAAUUUUUUAGACUAAACAGUCCAAUUUCCAUCAACAAGAUGGAGAAUUUAUGUUUAGAAUUACCUUCAAAAUUAAGUAAUUUUUAUGUCAUUAUGAACUGUAACUGGAUGGUCUCAGAAAGCCAAGAAGUGUAGGAAGCAGAGCAUUUAUUUAACACUGUGCUUGAACAAGAAAGCUGCAUACAAAAUCAGAAGUACACCAUGUAGAAAAUUCAAGAUUUCCAGAAGCCCAAUCAUAUGAAGGAUAUGUAAAUAGAGUUGUGCGUGUCAGUGUGUGGAUGCAGAGUAAGUAAAGCACAUACUGAAAUUGCUUUAUGAAAGCUAAGUGGUCAUAAAAUAAGAUGCAGAAGUUCAAGUGAAAAGUCACCUUUAGGCUAAGAGUAAAAAAAACACCCAAUUAUGCCCUAAAGCAGUUUUGUAACACUUAAGUUUUCACUGACAUCUAGAAAUUUACAAGUGGUUUUUUAAAGAAUGAGAAUUGGAAUCAUUUAUUGCUUGCUUUAUUGGCAUACUUAUUUAAGCAAAAGGGUUGCUUCUAUGCAAAGCUUCAGAAUUCUUUUUCACUCCAACUCUUUCUGCUUGUGAGUCAUCAAGACUGGUGUGCAAUCCUUCACAUGCGAAGAAAAGUCUCUUUCUACUCAGGCUGCUAUAACAAAUUACCAUACACUAGGUGGCUUACUGACACUUAUUUCUCACAGUUCUGGAAGUCCAACAGCGUUUCUUGUGUCUCUUCUUGUAAGGGCACUAAUACUAUUCAUGAGGGCUCCACCCUCAUGACCUAAUCAUCUCCAAAAGGCCCUCACUCCAAUCAACACCACUGGGGAUUAGGGCUUCAACAUAUGAAUGGAGAGAGAGAGAAACA